CGCAGACAUGCAAGCCCGGAGGCGCUUCAGAAGGAAGGAGGAGAGGAGGAGGAGGAGGAGGAGGCUGCGUGCUGGGAGAGGCAGCCCCGGCUCUCAGCGCUGCCCCGGCCGCCUUUGAGCGCAGCCAGCGGAGGCGUUUGAUCUCCAGCCGAGCCCUCGGUGUUGCUGUGAUGGGGGAGGAAUCAGGCUGGACGUGCUGCUCUGCCUUGUUCCUCGGAGCAGUUUUCAAUCCCAAAACCAGCACAGAGAAGUGUCACUGUCACCAGUGCCCCAGGUGCCAGCCAGGUUGCAGCCUCUGGAAGCUCUGAGAGUGCAGAACUUUUGGCAUCCCCCAAAUCCCAGCCCAUCCAGCGUGGCCUCCUCCUGCUCUGCCGAACCCGAGCGUGCCUGGGCGAACGCGGAGCUCUGUUAAAAUUUCAUGGGCUCUGGGUAUCCGGGGGCCUGUCAGGAGAAACGCUGGAGUCUGGGGAAUGCAGAGCCUCCCCUGAACCGGAGGAAUGCUGGAAGAGACGACACGCCUGGCAGAGAACGCCACGCCUUCAAAGCUUGACUCAAGAAAUGCUCUAAAAACCUCUUUAGGGCCUUUUAGAACUUAGGAAAAGCUGAUUAAAAAAGAUGGGGAGAGACUUUCCGCACAGGCAGGUGAUGCCAGGACAAGUGGAGAAGCAGAUCUGUGUACUGGAGGAUGAUGUAAAGCCUGAGGAGUCCAGGGGAUGCUAAUCCCAGUGAAAGGGAGCUGUGCCCUUGUUAGGAAUCAAAUGUUUCCCAGGGCGUUAAUUCCUGUCUAAUUAAGAGCUCCAGAGUUCCACGGAGGGCUGGUUUCAGCUGGUUCUCAGCCCUCCAUGGAAAUCAUGUUUUCCAACAUCCCUAGCACCGUCCUCAGGAGGUGUCCCUGGAGUUAAAUCCUCCAGACAGACGGAGGUUUUUAAAAAAUGCAUCCCGAGUGCCUCAUCGGAUGAGCAGGAAAGUGGGACAGGCACGGCCAGCGCUUCCUUCCCGCUGUCCCCGGGCUCCUGGGGCUGCUGGGACACCCCGGACCCCCCGAGCCAUCCGUGCCCCACCUCAAACCCAGCUCUGGGGAGCGAUUCUGUCUCCCAAACUAUUCCAUCAUUACUGGGAUCUUUCCAUUUGCUCUGACAGGGGUUUGUGAGCUAAAAGGAUUUAAAAAAAGGGCUGCAGGAGGGAGCUGUGCAGUGAGUGUCCCUGGAAUUCCCAGGAUUGAUAAACACCGAUCCAAAUCACCAGGGAAACCCGUGUUUUCACCUCAUUUUUUCCCCUUUGUUCCUCUCUCUAAUGAAUCCUUUGCUGGGAUGUCCCUGUCGCUCCCUGCUCCUGAGGCUUCCCAGGAUUUAUUCCUGGCAUUCCCUGAUCGCCGGGAUUAAGAGGCUCAGGAUGGAGUGUUGUGACAGGAAGCAAUUAUAUGCAAAUAAGAAGCUGCGCAAGUGUGAGUAAACAUUAGGGGUUGUUUUUUUCCUGUUGAACCUCCCGUGAUUUAAAAGCCAUUAAGGGCGCAGCCAGCGCUCUUUGUCAGCAGUUUCUUGGCGCUCCGGCAGCUCUCGCAUCCUUCCACAGCAUCGGGGACUUCCAGGGCUCGGGGCCUCCCUCGGAGCAGCGAUCCAAGAUUGAUCCUCCCGUCCCGCCCUAAGCAGUUGGUCAAACAUUUGUCUCUGGCACCUGGGGACGUGUGUGAGCAAAGCUGCAAUUUAGACCGAGGAAAUCACCGAGAAAACAAAUCCUGAGCCCCCAUCCAGCCAUUCCUAACACGUCACCCUCCUGACAGUGCUGCCAGAGAGCCAGGAAAAAAGCUCCAGCCUUGAAAUUUUUCUAGCAGAAGACAAAUGAGGGAGAUUCAUGUCUCUGUUGGCACUACAUUGUUUUGCUCAGCUGGCUGCAGAGCAAAUAAGAUGCGGUGUUGCAUUGAUUUGUAACCCAGGAGCUGUCCUGGCAAAUGGAUGGGCUGGGGAAAACUUCAUUUGGGGCUUAAAUUGGAGAAAGCAGCAGGCAAAGGGUGCCCAGAGCCUCGGGAUCCCACUGUGCCUCCUCCCUGGGGCAUGAGGGGAACAAGUUCUUCCUUUUUUGGGGGAAGCUUUUCCCUAUGGAUCUGUGGGAUCUUUGCUGUGCCUCUGCACCCCCAUCACUGCUUGCUGCCCUGGUGUUUGGACACGAUCCCAAGAGCAAUGGAAACCAAACCCAUUUCCAGCCAUUUCCACUCAUUUCCAGUGGUUUUGGGGAAUGGGAAUUCUCCUUUGCAAGGCUGUGCCCUGCCAGCCUCGGGCUCACCCCAUGGGGAGGUGCCAGGAGCAGGGUGACACCUCCUGAUGUCACCCACGGCAUCUUCAGUGGGCAAAAAUCCAGGGAAAGCUGGAUCCAUCCCUGUGGGCCGUGCCCAGGGAGGGUCUGGAAGGGGCAGAGGGGAAAAUGCUGCUUGUUAGCAUUAAUAAACGUAAAACACAGAAAUAAAAAUAAAAUAAAUAGGAAAACAUCAAACUAAUGCCCAGGAACAAUGCGUCACAAGGCUGGCAGCUCCCCCAGGUCUCACUGCAAAGAAUUGGAGUGUCCAAAUGAGUCUCCUCCGAAGCCACCUCCAUUCCAGAGCACCAGGGAAGAGGAGGGCAGAGGGAGGAUGAGGAGGCACGAGGCUGUUCAUCACUUCUGCAGCUGCUCCCCUUCCAUCAGCCCUGAUCCCUCAGACGCAUCCACUGCCUAAGAAAAAUCCCCCACUGCUCUCUGCAGACAGGAGGCAAUUUCCAAGUCCCAGCGAUUCCCAAGAAAAGUGAUGCUGGCUGUGCCCUAAUGGAAAGGCAGCCAGUUUUAUAGCAGAAUGCAAAUGAAAAGGUAUAAAUAAACAAUCGCUCACGAAUAAGUGCUUGCCUUUAAUGAAUAUUUCAUAUACAAAAGGAGUCAUUGACAUUUUGCUGGAUUGCUUCAAUUAGCUCUUGAGCCUCAUGUUCAUGCAAAUAAUAAGCUUGCUUUUCAUAAUGCUUUGUUAAUCUGCUUCAUAGUGUGAAUUUAUACAGUAAUAUAUCACCCAGACCUCCUGCUGGAGCCUUUAUUGGAUAUAAAUGACUUAGUAAUUGCUAUUGAUCAUUAAAGGAGUGUGGUGUUAUUUUGGAAUUACAAUGUGGGGGAUCUUUGCAGGACUGAGGGAUCUGGCUGCUCGGGCUGGUUUAUAUUCAGGGCAGUGACUAAUGGGUCCUUGGGAGGAAAAAGUCAAAGUGUGCCAAGAUUGAGGCUGGGGAAAAACACUGCUGGAGUCAUUGCUGCCUCCCCGUCACGAAACGCUCCCGGCGACGUAUCCAGAAUAUAUCUCAGCAUAUUCCAUUUCACGCAUUGAUCUCCAUCCCAACUCCAGCCUCGCUAAGAUUAGCCAGGAAAAUAUUGUGGCAGGCAGAAGCAGGCUGGGCCUGGGGUGAAAACACAGCCUGGCAGGUCCCUGAGCGUGGUGACCGUGUCAGGGUGAGCAGGGACAAAGCCACCAGGGCCCUUCCCAAGGCUGCCACAACAAGCUCAGGAGGCUGCAGGUCUUUAAUCCAGGCUGGCUGUUGUGGUGGGUGAUUAAAGCAAGGGGUUUGCAGCCCCCCAGGCUCUGCAGUGUUGGGUGUAUUGAUCCCAGCUCCUGCUCCGUGUUCCCAACAGGGAAUUCGGCCUCAGCCUCCUCCUCCCCAUCACUUGCUGGUUGUCUUUGCAGCUUCCAACAUUAAAACC
This is a long non-coding RNA of Prinia subflava (tawny-flanked prinia), 3705 nucleotides long. RefSeq lists it as uncharacterized. The transcript is spliced from 4 exons. NCBI's taxonomy places the organism in Eukaryota, Metazoa, Chordata, Aves, Passeriformes, Cisticolidae. The record is from RefSeq and is a predicted model, not a curated record.